AGUGAACGCUGGCGGUAGGCCUAACACAUGCAAGUCGAACGGCAGCACAGUAAGAGCUUGCUCUUACGGGUGGCGAGUGGCGGACGGGUGAGGAAUACAUCGGAAUCUACUUUUUCGUGGGGGAUAACGUAGGGAAACUUACGCUAAUACCGCAUACGACCUACGGGUGAAAGCAGGGGAUCUUCGCACCUUGCGCGAUUGAAUGAGCCGAUGUCGGAUUAGCUAGUUGGCGGGGUAAUGGCCCACGCAGGCGACGAUACGUAGCUGGUCUGAGAGGAUGAUAAGCCACACUGGAACUGAAACACGGUCCAGGGUACUACGGGAGGGAGCAGUGGGGAAUAUUAGACAAUGGGCGCAAGCCUGAUCCAGCCAUACCGCGUGGGUGGAGAAGGCCUUCGGGUUGUGAAGCCCUUUUGUUGGGAAAGAAAAGCAGCAGGUUAAUACCCCGCUGUUCUGACGGUACCCAAAGAAUAAGCACCGGCUAACUUCGUG
This 492-nucleotide ribosomal RNA is filed under the name uncultured bacterium. RNAcentral describes it as "partial 16S ribosomal RNA". It matches the Rfam family "Bacterial small subunit ribosomal RNA", at positions 29 to 507 of the family's 1533-position model. The record is from RNAcentral.